Molecule: long non-coding RNA, 491 nt
Filed under: Equus caballus (horse)
Lineage: Eukaryota; Metazoa; Chordata; Mammalia; Perissodactyla; Equidae
Description: lncRNA (ENSECAG00000049585.1)
Source: RNAcentral
CCUGAAGCAUCCCAGCUGACCUCUGGGUCAGAGUUCAUGAGUUCUAAGAUUCCUCAGCUGUGGCCUGGAUGAAAAUGCCCUUUCACAUGUGUGUAACAAACUACGUAUAGUUUUCAUUUCACAGAGCAUGGGUUCAGAAUUCAUUAAUUCACUGUUCGUGCCAACCUUAUAGAACAUAACUGCAGCAAAUAACAAGAGUCAGCUGUACUUGUCUAGAAGAAUAGGAGAAUGAGUGAACUGGGGAAGUAUAAUACGAUUGUUGGGCAGUCAUAAGUGCUCUGUCCAGGACCACCAGAACAAUGUGGAACGGACACAGUGGUAGCUUUCAUGGAUGCCUCAGGCUGCUCAACCAUAUGUAUGUGCCUGUGAAAUCUUUGCCCUGAAGAGAUCCGCCACAAUGAAUGGAGAAGACAUCCAAGCACCAAUUAGCCCUGAGCUAACAUCUGCUGCCAAUCCUCCUCUUUUUGUUGAGGAAGACUGGCCCUGAGCUA